This 531-nucleotide ribosomal RNA is filed under the name Streptomyces sp. 645305. RNAcentral's name for it is "bacterial SSU rRNA". It matches the Rfam family "Bacterial small subunit ribosomal RNA", at positions 95 to 640 of the family's 1533-position model. Lineage: Bacteria; Bacillati; Actinomycetota; Actinomycetes; Kitasatosporales; Streptomycetaceae. The record is from RNAcentral.
GUGGCGAACGGGUGAGUAACACGUGGGCAAUCUGCCCUGCACUCUGGGACAAGCCCUGGAAACGGGGUCUAAUACCGGAUAUGACCUGCCUCUGCAUGGGGGUGGGUGGAAAGCUCCGGCGGUGCAGGAUGGGCCCGCGGCCUAUCAGCUUGUUGGUGGGGUAAUGGCCUACCAAGGCGACGACGGGUAGCCGGCCUGAGAGGGCGACCGGCCACACUGGGACUGAGACACGGCCCAGACUCCUACGGGAGGCAGCAGUGGGGAAUAUUGCACAAUGGGCGCAAGCCUGAUGCAGCGACGCCGCGUGAGGGAUGACGGCCUUCGGGUUGUAAACCUCUUUCAGCAGGGACGAAGCGCAAGUGACGGUACCUGCAGAAGAAGCACCGGCUAACUACGUGCCAGCAGCCGCGGUAAUACGUAGGGUGCGAGCGUUGUCCGGAAUUAUUGGGCGUAAAGAGCUCGUAGGCGGCUUGUCGCGUCGGAUGUGAAAGCCCGGGGCUUAACCCCGGGUCUGCAUUCGAUACGGGCAGG